AAAAUUAUCUAAAAUGGCGCUGUCGUGUUCGCACUGAAGUGCUCAGAGUGCCGAGAGUGCUGAUCACUGAUCACUGGUGCUGAUCAGGCCAGGCCAGUCAGGUUGAUCGAUAGAACCGAAGCGAGUUCGAGGGGCGAGCGAAGGCCUGAAAUGGCAAUAUCUCGCGAUCGCUCGGCGGUAUCGUGCUUCAAUUCUACUACGAAAGAAGAUAUCAUUGUCGGAAUAUAGUAGAUGAGCCAUUGGACGGGCGAGAAAAAUUCUAUACGUCGCGUUCGCUGUUCGUCGUAAUCGAUGUGGUUAUUUGUCAUUCGAAGCAGGCCCUGAGCUCUUUCGUAUGACAGUAUUUGGUAUUAUUAUCGGGGGUCGGUAAGCAGAGGGACAUCCAGAGAUCGGUGAACAAUGUCCAAGAUUGAUAAUCCAAAGCUGGUCGUGGCGCUGUUCACGUUCAAGGGAAAGAACAACGACGAGUUGUGCUUCAGGAAGGGAGAUGUCAUCACCAUUACUCAGAUGGACGACGGCGGAUGGUGGGAGGGCACGCUCAGUGACAAGACUGGAUGGUUUCCCUCCAACUAUGUCAAGGAGCAGAAAAAUUCAGACAGCAGCCAUUCGUCAGUAAAAUCCUCACCUGAAAAAACUACUCAAGAGUUGGCCAUCCAGCAGAGAGCUAACCGAAGCGUGGUCUUGAAGGACAUUAUCGAUUCAGAAAGAGCGAACGUCGCGGAGCUUCAGGGACUAGUUAACAACUUUCUAAAACCCUUAGACACAACCGGCAUACUGACGAGGGAAGAGUACAAACAGCUGGUUGGGAACAUACUCGACGUCCUGGAAAUCCAUCAACACCUUCUCACCAGUUUGGAGGCUGCCUGCGCUCAGGGUUCGGAUGCUAGAGCAGGAAACCUCUUCUUGGCUUUGGCGCCGAGGCUCAAGUCCAUUCACAUUGCCUACUGCGCUUCCCAUCCUCGAGCCGUUUGCAUAUUGGACAGAUUCAGAGAUGAGCUGAACGAGUUUAUGGAACACUGCGGAGCCGUUACUCCUGGUAUCCUUGUGCUAACGACUGGGUUAAGUAAGCCUUUUCGUAGAUUGGAAAAAUAUUCGGCCAUGCUGCAAGAGUUGGAGAGGCAUAUGGAAAAGAAUCACCCUGACAGAGGAGACACUCAGCGUAGCGUAUGCGUCUAUAGGGAAAUAGCGGAAAGGUGCAGCGCAAUAAGAAAACAGAAGGAAUUAGCUUUGACGGUAUUGGCGGGGGGAAUAAAAGGCUGGGAGGGAGAAGACCUCCACACUCUAGGUGAUAUAAUUUACGUCGGUCCUGUAACCCUUGCUACCGGAGUCGAUCGCAGGGAUCGAUACUUUGUGCUUUUUUCCACAACGCUGCUUGUCUUGAGCACGAGCCAGAGAAUGAGCUCCUUUGUCUACGAGGGCAAGCUUCCGUUGACUGGAAUUGCAGUGACGAAAAUCGAUGACACGGAGGAUAUGAAGAACGGUUUUGAAAUAUCGGGACCAAUGAUCGAAAGUAUACUCGCAGUCUGCCCUAGUCGAGAAGAGCGCCAGCAAUGGAUCGAAUAUCUGACCCAAGAGCAGCGUGUGAAUACAGCAAAAUCACCGUCGACGAUGCAGCACGUGAGUCCACUUCUGAAUGGAAAACAACCACGGAUGGGGGUGGAGGGCUGUCUUCCUCCAGGAAUUAGAUCGCCCUGGUCAAUCGCCUCGCUGCGACCAGCCCCCCCUCUGUACUCCUGCAAAAGUUUUGGCAAGACGGACCUAUUGGACGCCGGCGGUUCAAUGCGAAUCGGUAAUGAGCGGAUGUUCGAGGAGGAUGCCAUCAUAUUGAGAGUUAUAGAAGGCUACUGUGCCACUGUUAAUACUCGACUCACGGUGCACUCUGCCAUGCUAGAAUGCGAAGCAGUCCAUAAAGCUUGCGAUAAAAUGUCGAUAAUGCAUAAUAGAGUUGGAAAUUGGGAUGGAAGUGAAAACAGGAGUCUAUCGGAGACGGUUAAUACUCUGAAGGAACAGAUAAUCGACUUGCAGUCGCAAAUGGUGCUUCUAACGAGACAGCUGGAUGAUGAAAGGAAGUCACGCCUCUCCUUAGCUGCUACGGUUAAACGCAGUAUUGCUGUUAUGGAUGCUUCUGUGUCCUGAAACGUAAUUUUACUGAAACUUUUUUUCUGAGGGGUUGGAGUUCGAAAAAUUCGAAAAUCGUGUGUAUUAAUACUUGUGACAAUCUUCAAUCUCGUCAAAUCGGGAAAAGAAGUAUAGAGGGUAAUGGUUGCAGAAAGGUAAAAGAGAUCAGAGAGAUGUGGGAUUAAUUGGUAGUAGAAACGUAUCAGUAAAUCCAGCAUUUGCAAAUACCGCGAUCAUAAUUCCCCAUCAAUCGAUUGACUAAACAAUUAACAGAAAUCCUCGAUUGAUCUAUGAACAAUCUUAUUUUCACUAAAGCAAUAUUAGAUAGUGAGUACUAUGCGUGAGUUACUGAAGACUUGUCACCUCAGUUGACAGAGUUCUAUCCUUGUGUGCAAAGUUCUACCUACAAAUGAAGCAUAUCAUUAUCAGGUCGACGAGUUGUCCCGCGGGUCAGUUAGCAUCUGGGUACCGGCUUUUUUUCAUUGUUUGUUUCUUCCGGACAGAACAAUAUCCAUGUGUACUUACGAUUGGAUCAGUGCAUGGAAUAUGCUGCCUGUAGAUAUAACUGCAUUUUUUCAGCGUACAUUGUCGAGUAUGUUAUGUUAUUGUUAUUUUACACAUAGAAUUAGCAGAGGUAUACACGUACCGUUAUAAUAUGUUAGAGCCCCUCGUUCAGGUUGUCCCCUAGUGAGAAAUUCUAACUUCAGAUUGAUGUACAAAUGACUAACUCUUAUAUCCUACAAGAUAAAAAUAGACGGAAGGAGAGUAAGUAAUGAGGAAGCGAACAAAAAUUAUUUUGUAAUAAUAAAAUAUAGUGUAAAUAAAAUAGCUCUUAAAACGAUUGAUUAUAAAGAAGUGUUUGGUUGCA
This 2986-nucleotide unclassified non-coding RNA is filed under the name Neodiprion lecontei (redheaded pine sawfly). RNAcentral describes it as "rho guanine nucleotide exchange factor 7, transcript variant X3". Lineage: Eukaryota; Metazoa; Arthropoda; Insecta; Hymenoptera; Diprionidae. The record is from RNAcentral.